CGGCAAUUGCAAUGGCUUCUUUAUCUAUUCAUAUUCAAAAAAACAAGAUUGUUUAGAUACGCUGGGACCAAUCUCAUCCAUUUUAUUUUGAAAACGUGGACUUGUAUCAUAAUACGGAUAUCUAUUUAUUGGAAUAGAGUAUAACAUGUGAUUUCUACCGAACAUAAAGGAAAAAAAUCUUAUGCCUACAGAAACAUAAUAUAUAGAUAUAUCCAUUCUAGUAAUUUUCAAAUAGCUCAGGAUCACUGGAUGACUGAAAUGUAGUUGGUUAAUCUCUAUGUAUAUCGAUAUGUCUAGUGGGAUCGUAUUAAAUAAAGAGCAUGUUAUUAUUUUAGAUUUAACCAAUUUGAUGAAUUACUCCUAAAGGUUGACAUCAAACUACUGCUAGUUCACCUCAAACUAGUGCUAGUUGAUGAGAGUUACUUCAGAAACAAAAUAGUAGUCAAAUUUCUAAGGGAUUAUUAUCUCAAUUCCAAUAAAAUGCAAUUGGGUAAAGUAUGACUUGGCGAUCAGAACAUAUAUGGAUAGAACUUAUAACGGUGUCUCGAAAAAUAAGUAAUUUCUGCUGAGCCUUUAUCCUUUUUUUAGGUUCAUUAGGCUUCUUAUUAGUUGGAACUUCCAGUUAUCUUGGUAGAAAUUUGAUAUCUUUUUUUCCGCCUCAGCAAAUCAUUUUUUUUCCACAAGGAAUCGUGAUGUCUUUCUACGAGAAUUGCGGGUCUCUUUAUUAGCUCUUAUUUGUGGUGCACAAUUUCCUGGAAUGUAGGUAUGGUUAUGAUCGAUUCGAUAUAAAGGAAGGAAUAGUCUGUAUUUUUCAUUGGGGAUUUCCAAAAAAAAAUCAUCGCAUAUUCCUCCGAUUCCUUAUAAAGAUAUUCAGUCCGUUAGAAUAGAAGUUAAAGAGGGUAUUUAUGCUCGUCAUGUUCUUUAUAUGGACAUCCGAGGCCAGGGGUCCAUUCCCUUAACCCGUACUGAUGAGAAUUUGACUCCACGAGAAAAUUGAACAAAAGGCUGCUGAAUUAGCCUAUUUCUUGCGUGUACCAAUUGAAGUAUUUUGAGAAAUUGAGAAUCAGAACGUUCAUUCAAUUAAAGAAAACGUAUAUGAAAGAACCAUAAAACGGAACUCUUUUUAUGGUCUUUAUGCGUAUGUAAACCUACGCAAUUCAAUAACAAAUAACAAAUCGAAAUAAUAGAUUCAUCUCAGAUGGUAAACCAUUUUGAAAUCAAGAAAUUUUUUUUUAGUUAAUAUUUGUUGGAAUUGACACUUUAGAUCCAGAUAGAUCAUUUCUUGUAAAUUGAAAAUUCUUUCUUUUGUAUUCUUUAAUGACCAACAAUUGGAUGUCUUAAUUAAAUAAUGAGAACUAGCCAAUUUAUCUUUUGCCAGUCAUUUUUUUUUUAUCAUCGUAAUAUCUUUUCCUCAAUUAUUCUAUUCCUGACUAUGGGUAAUUAGUGAAAUUUUUUCAAAAUAUUGGAUAUUUUGAUAGCAAGGGAGUUCUUUCUUCUCAAAAUCUGAAAAAUAUUCAUUACUUAAAGUGGUUCUUACAACUAUAAAUGAAGACGAUAAUGAGAUAAAUUGAUAGUAUUCAUCUUUAAGUAAUGAAUACUAGGUAUGGCCUUAAAAUUAAAAAAGAGGGGUCAAAGUCGGCUAGUGAGAUGAUGGGGGAUAAGCUUCAUCGUCGAGAGGGAAACAGCCCGGAUCACCAGCUAAGGCCCCUAAAUGGCCGCUCAGUGAUAAAGGAGGUAGGGGUGCGGAGACAGCCAGGAGGUUUGCCUAGAAGCAGCCACCCUUGAAAGAGUGCGUAAUAGCUCACUGAUCGAGCGCUCUUGCGCCGAAGAUGAACGGGGCUAAGCGAUCUGCCGAAGCUGUGGGGUGUAAAAAUACAUCGGUAGGGGAGCGUUCCGCCUUAGANACAACUAUGAACCCUUUAAGUUGCCUGACGUAAGAACCACAGACCACAACACAUAUAAGAACCUUUCGUACCUACUUCAUUUAGUUAGGAAUUUUUGUAGUUUCCCUAUUUAAUAGUUCAAUUACAACUAUGAAUACUAGGUUUGCCUGUUAUUGCCUCUUCGUUUUAACUACUAUUCCCUGGGAUUGGCUUUGGGCCUUUCCUGCGCAGCUUAGGUGGAAGGCAAAGAAGCCCUCCUUCCGGGGGGGCCUGGGCUAUCAGUGAGAUACCACUCUAGAAGGGCUAGAAUUCUAACCUUGUGUCAGGACCUACGGGCCAAGGGACAGUCUCAGGUAGACAGUUUCUAUGGGGCGUAGGCCUCCCAAAAGGUAACGGAGGCGUGCAAAGGUUUCCUCGGGCCGGACGGAGAUUAGCCCUCNGGUAACGGAGGUGUGAAAAGGUUUCCUCGGGCCGGACGGAGAUUAGCCCUCGAGUGCAAAGGCAGAAGGGAGCUUAACUGCAAGACCCACCCAUCGAGCAGGGAUGAAAGUCGGCCUUAGUUAUCCGACGGUGCCGAGUGGAAGGGCCGUCGCUCAACGUAUAAAAGUUACUCUAGGGAUAACAGGCUGAUCUUCCCUAAGAGCUCACAUCGACGGAAAGAUUUGGAACCUCGAUGUCGGCUCUUUGCCACCUGGGGCUGUAGUAUGUUCCAAGGGUUGGGUUGUUCGCCCAUUAAAGCGGUACGUGAGCUGGGUUCAGAACGUCGUGAGACAAUUUGGUCCAUAUCUGGUGUGGGCGUUAGAGCAUUGAGAGGACCUUUCCCUAGACGAGAGGACCGGCAAGGACGCACCUCUGGUGUACCAGUUAUCGUGCCUACGGUAAACGCUGGGUAGCCAAGUGUGGAGCGAAUAACUGCUAAAAGCAUCUAAGUACUAAGCCCACCCCAAGAUGAGUGCUCUCCUAUUACGACUAACCCAGAGCUUUCGGUAGCAUAACCGAGACAACGACGGGUUCUCUUCCCCUGCGGGGAUGGAGCGACAAAAGUUUUUUUGAAAAUUCAAGAGAAGGUCACAGCGAGACGAGCCGUUUAUCAUUACGAUAGGUGUCAAGUGGAAGUGCAGUGAUGUAUGCAGCUGAGGCAUCCUAACAGACCGGUAGACUUGAAC
RNAcentral lists this ribosomal RNA (3049 nucleotides) under Capsicum chinense (habanero). RNAcentral's name for it is "bacterial LSU rRNA". The stretch from base 1336 to 3049 matches the Rfam family "Bacterial large subunit ribosomal RNA". Lineage: Eukaryota; Viridiplantae; Streptophyta; Magnoliopsida; Solanales; Solanaceae. The record is from RNAcentral.